This 259-nucleotide ribosomal RNA is filed under the name uncultured bacterium. RNAcentral describes it as "partial 16S ribosomal RNA". It matches the Rfam family "Bacterial small subunit ribosomal RNA", at positions 795 to 1052 of the family's 1533-position model. The record is from RNAcentral.
CCACGCCGUAAACGAUGAGUGCUAGGUGUUAGGCCCUUUCCGGGGCUUAGUGCCGGAGCUAACGCAUUAAGCACUCCGCCUGGGGAGUACGACCGCAAGGUUGAAACUCAAAGGAAUUGACGGGGGCCCGCACAAGCGGUGGAGCAUGUGGUUUAAUUCGAAGCAACGCGAAGAACCUUACCAGGUCUUGACAUCCUCCUGACCGGUCUAGAGAUAGGCUUUCCCUUCGGGGCAGGAGUGACAGGUGGUGCAUGGUUGU